This 254-nucleotide ribosomal RNA is filed under the name uncultured bacterium. RNAcentral describes it as "partial 16S ribosomal RNA". It matches the Rfam family "Bacterial small subunit ribosomal RNA", at positions 524 to 776 of the family's 1533-position model. The record is from RNAcentral.
UACGGGGGGGGCAAGCGUUGUUCGGAAUUACUGGGCGUAAAGGGCUCGUAGGCGGCCAACUAAGUCAGACGUGAAAUCCCUCGGCUUAACCGGGGAACUGCGUCUGAUACUGGAUGGCUAGAGGUUGGGAGAGGGAUGCGGAAUUCCAGGUGUAGCGGUGAAAUGCGUAGAUAUCUGGAGGAACACCGGUGGCGAAGGCGGCAUCCUGGACCAACACUGACGCUGAGUGAGCGAAAGCCAGGGGAGCAAACGGG